CGGGUGAGUAACACGUGGAUAACCUACCUAUAAGACUGGGAUAACUUCGGGAAACCGGAGCUAAUACCGGAUAAUAUAUUGAACCGCAUGGUUCAAUAGUGAAAGACGGUUCUGCUGUCACUUAUAGAUGGAUCCGCGCCGCAUUAGCUAGUUGGUAAGGUAACGGCUUACCAAGGCAACGAUGCGUAGCCGACCUGAGAGGGUGAUCGGCCACACUGGAACUGAGACACGGUCCAGACUCCUACGGGAGGCAGCAGCU
This 259-nucleotide ribosomal RNA is filed under the name uncultured Staphylococcus sp. Its description in RNAcentral is "partial 16S ribosomal RNA". It matches the Rfam family "Bacterial small subunit ribosomal RNA", at positions 103 to 355 of the family's 1533-position model. Lineage: Bacteria; Bacillati; Bacillota; Bacilli; Caryophanales; Staphylococcaceae. The record is from RNAcentral.